UACGGGGGGUGCAAGCGUUGUCCGGAAUCACUGGGCGUAAAGGGCGCGUAGGCGGCUCUGCACGUUCGUUGUGAAAUCGCCCGGCUCAACUGGGCGGGGUCAGCGGAUACGGCAGAGCUUGAGCAAGCUAGGGGGCAAUGGAAUUCCCGGUGUAGUGGUGGAAUGCGUAGAUAUCGGGAGGAACACCAGUGGCGAAGGCGGUUGCCUGGGGCUUUGCUGACGCUGAUGCGCGAAAGCGUGGGGAGCGAGUCCGG
RNAcentral lists this ribosomal RNA (254 nucleotides) under uncultured bacterium. RNAcentral describes it as "partial 16S ribosomal RNA". It matches the Rfam family "Bacterial small subunit ribosomal RNA", at positions 524 to 777 of the family's 1533-position model. The record is from RNAcentral.